This 204-nucleotide long non-coding RNA is filed under the name Prunus dulcis (almond). RNAcentral's name for it is "sRNA ncRNA". The record is from RNAcentral. Lineage: Eukaryota; Viridiplantae; Streptophyta; Magnoliopsida; Rosales; Rosaceae.
CCAAAUUCCAAAUUCCAAGUUUCAAUUUCUCUCUCCAAAUUUGAGGAGGAAUUUGGUGCUUUCUUUGCAGGACGACAAGGAGUGGAAGAUGAAAGGGAUUUCAAAUAUGGGAAAAUUAUCCAGAACCCCAACUCAAUGGAGCCAAACAAGCCAUAUUUUGAGGAACUUCGUAGGGUUUCUAUCAAUGAGUGGAUAAUGGGUUAG